UGAGGAAUUUUCCGCAAUGGGCGCAAGCCUGACGGAGCGACGUCGCGUGUGGGAAGAAGGCCUUCGGGUCGUAAACCACUGUCGAAGGGGACGAUAUUGACGGUACCCUUGGAGGAAGCCCCGGCUAACUACGUGCCAGCAGCCGCGGUAAGACGUAGGGGGCAAGCGUUGUCCGGAAUUAUUGGGCGUAAAGCGCUCGUAGGUGGAUCUGCAAGUCCGCAAGCAAAGACCCGGGCUCAACUCGGGAAUCCGUGUGGAAACUGCUGAUCUUGAGGUAGUCAGAGGAUGAUGGAAUUCCCGGCGUAGCGGUGAAAUGCGUAGAUAUCGGGAGGAACACCAGUGGCGAAGGCGAUCAUCUGGGGCUAUUCUGACACUGAGGAGCGAAAGCUAGGGGAGCAAACGGGAUUAGAUACCCCGGUAGUCCUAGCCGUAAACGAUGGACACUAGGUGUAGGUGGUAUCGACUCCAUCCGUGCCGCAGUUAACACAAUAAGU
Molecule: ribosomal RNA, 494 nt
Filed under: uncultured bacterium
Lineage: Bacteria
Description: bacterial SSU rRNA
Rfam family: Bacterial small subunit ribosomal RNA
Source: RNAcentral